AGGUUGUAGCCGCCCCAUGCUGCCCACGCGAGUGACGUCACCUGAGCAUGAAGUAUUUAAAUGAGAUGUCUUCAGCUUACCAUUGAGAAGAUCCCGACCACUAUGCACCCAGUCCGAAGACCGCAGCAGCAGCAGUUCUUCACGAUUGGCAUGAUGAUGGCGCCCUACUGCUCUACCUACCCUCUCACUCCCAGUCUUCCAAUGUCUUCAAGUCAAGUUGUUGCCAGACAUGUAUCAGAGACUGCGGAUAUUGAAGGAGGACAUCUAUUUCAACACAGAUAUAAUAUCACUGGAGAAAUGACGUGCGGAGAUAUGAAGUUACCCAUUUUCUACCCAUGACAUGAAGAAGGUAAUUAAGUAAACCACGAAUAACGUUCUGUAGCGCCUAAUGGCGGCCCUAGCAGCUAAGUAAACGAUUUUCCGUCACUGACACGUCGUUGUCUAUAUUUCAGGUAAUUCUUAACCAUAAAAACAAACUCAGCCAACAAGUGUGAAACGAUCAGCACGUCUUAUAGCCUUGAAAAUAUGCGCUGGCAUUAAGGUACAGUCUGCCAACAGGGGGCGCUGUAUACUGAUCAGGCUGAAAAACGUGUACGUAGGUUUUACGUCUGUUCUCGCCAUUUUCCUCUGUCGUUAUUGGCUUUCUCCCUUUCCAUAAACCCUCGAAGAAAAUAUAUUGAUGCGGGGCCGGAGAGCAUUUUCUCCCCGUCCCCGAGGGUUGUCGCUCUCAUCCACAACCAAAAGAGCAAUGCUUAUCGUCAUAGGCAUACAGAGAUCGUGAGUUCGAUAAGAUAACUGCUGACAAAUAGAGACCAGCGUCAAUGCUGACGCAGUUACCGGCGAAUUACGUAUAGAAUUCGCCGAGUCUGAAAGCGUUCUUUCACCUCGGAUUGCACAUUCACUCAGGUCAAUAUUACCUUAACCUAUACAGCUCUUGAAAACUGUCUUUUGGAAAAGCUAUUGACAGCGGAAUGAAAUCAAGCAUCAAUAAUUAUGAGCAAGAAAAAAUCAAUGGCAAUAUUUUGUGGCAAGUUUGCAUGGGACCUUACUCUGAAGCGGACCUGUGGGAUAUAUUGCUUCUCUUUGCAGGCUGAAAAAGGGGGACACGCAAAACAACAAUAACACUUCUGAAUUCGGGCAUAGUGCCGUCUGCUAGGGUUGUGCAACGCUGACUUCGUCUCGCGGUCAAUUUCAAAAUACAUACAUUGACGGCACUCCACGCAUCUCCACGGGGAGUUAGGGGACUUAAACGCGCAUAUCAAAGCACCUGCAAAUAAGCCCAAGUCUCGGAGUGUAUAGUGUUCCACUCCGGAUUUGUGUCCCGGGCCCGAUUUCCACCCACGGGACCCCGUUGGAAAUAUCAAAGUGGCCACUUUGAAUUUCAUAGGGGCUUUUCCCGCGUCGCCAGCGCAAGUUGAGCAUGCACACACAGCGGCGACAAUAAGAAUCAUGAUGCCGAUUGCUUGCCCAGCGGCCGGGCCAGGCAUUCCGCGGGCAGAGCACUAGCAAGCCGGUGAUCAUGUUUUUAGUGCAGUGUUCGUCACACCUCUUCAAUCUCGGGACCUCUAGGUGACAGAUUCCAGAUGGAUUGGAGGAUUGGAGUACAGAUAACAUCAGAAGAGAGCAUAUUUAUACACAAAGAAAAGUGCAUAAACUGCACCCAACAACAUAAUACCAACAUGUUGUAUGAUCCUUGUCUUAUUUCCUUUUGGUAAGUUUUUAGUCUAAAAUCAUCAGUAUUCGAGUGUUCCUAAAAACCCUUAUGGAAUAACUUUUAAAAAGCUAAUAUGACACCAAAACUAUAACAGGUAGAUUUAAUUUAGAAGAAUGUCAAAAUAAAAAAAAUGAACAUGUACAUAAAGUUGACUAACAAACCUUUGAUUUUGUACCAUGCAAUGAAAUUAAUUCGGGACUGCAAAAUGUGCAAAG
Molecule: long non-coding RNA, 1929 nt
Organism: Patiria miniata (bat star)
Lineage: Eukaryota; Metazoa; Echinodermata; Asteroidea; Valvatida; Asterinidae
Exons: 3
Source: RefSeq, a predicted model, not a curated record